Long non-coding RNA from Rattus norvegicus (Norway rat), 2292 nucleotides. RefSeq lists it as uncharacterized. Lineage: Eukaryota; Metazoa; Chordata; Mammalia; Rodentia; Muridae. The record is from RefSeq and is a predicted model, not a curated record.
GAUGUAUUUAUUUAUUCUAUAUAAGUAGCAGUCUUCAGACACACCAGAAGAAAGCAUCAGAUCCCAUUAGAGAUGGUUGCUGGGAUUUGAACUCUGGACCUCUGGAAGAGUAGUCAGUGCUCUUAACCACUGAGCCAUCUCUCCAGACCCUCUUUACUUCAUUUUAUGCGUUCUUAGUUUGUCCUGUGUGAGAGUUUUUGUCUGUGUAUAUGUAUUUCUUUUCGUGUGUGUGUGUGUGUGUGUGUACCAUAUGUUACAAGAGGCCAGAAGAGGUCGUUGAUCCCCUGGAAACAGAGAGACAGGUGGUUGAGAUCUCCCUAAUGUGGGCGCUGAGAACUGAACUCAGACCCUCUGCCAAAGCAGCCUUGAAGUGCUCCUAACCAGGGACCAAUCUCUCCAGCCACCCCUACCAAGGCCUUUACGUCAUUCAUUGCCACAGCUGUUUUGGUUGUAAUUAGUGAGAGCUAAGCAGUGUAACGGGGGAUAAAGCAGAGGCUUUGCAGUGAUCCCAGAGUCACUCGUAGUUCCGACCAGCAGGGCUCACCAGGCCUGGACCAAGGAAGCAGAACGCUGUGAGGAACUCGCUGAGUUGUCUCUCUGCUAUGCCCCAGGCUUGAUGUACCUUUGCUGAGCAUGUCUGCAGAGGGGGUCCUCAGCCACUAUAGAUACAAUGCUGGGGUGUGGGGGGCUCCUCAGCAGUGACUCCAGCAUCCGGCAUACGCAUAGCAACAGGAGCUCAUAGAGCAAAUAUACCACCCCAGAAUCACUUCUGUAUAAAUGUGUGGGGGAAGGGUGGCGGAUACAGCUUUGGGAGGUACGAGACAAGGUAGGCACUGAGGCAUGAAGGUAAGAAUACUUCAGGGAACAAGGGCUUUGUCAGUUUAAAGAACUCUCUUUUCGUGCAAGUAUAGCUAGUACACUGAGCAGUCUCCCAGCCCUCCCAUUUUCUCACAAGACUUUGCCAUGUGAUGGCUGUGUCCGCAUAUAAGAACAUUGUGGCCUUCACAUUUAAAACAGAUACUCUUGUAUCCCCAAUGUAGCCCCCUGAAAUAGCUCAAGGCUGAAGCUCCGUGGCUUUAGAGUCUUCCUUAUCCAAAAAUACCAUCUGGUGAGUCUGAGAAGUUAUCGGAGUAAGUACAAGGAUAAUAAUGAGAAAAAUAAAAAUAGAACUCUGGAAGUGGUCCAACGGCCAAGUCGUGCUCGGGAUGCAAUUAGGCAGUUGGAGCGGGGCAUCCAUUUACCCGAGCCACUGGGGCACCAUUGAAGAGAUCCUUACGCCAGUAAAUGAGGGUAAAUGAGCCUCUAGUGACUGGGAAACUUGAGGCUGUUUUCAAAAGUUCUGAUUUGCACCCAGGGAGUACCGGGAAGAAUCUGGGUGGAAUAAAUAACCAGAUAAAUAAUUCAAGAGCAGAGGCUGGGUCAAGAUGGAAGCCGGAAGUGAGAUAGCAGGUGCUGGCGGACGUGCGUUUCAAAGGGUGCUGAGGAGUGAAUCCAAAGCAUUUUACCGGCUCAGCGAGUGCUUUCCUACUGAGCUACGCUACCUCUAUGUGGCUGGAAAAGAACAGCUCUGUGUCCCAGUUGCAGGAGAGCCUGCUCACUUAUAGGGCUAACCUGUCCAUCAGGAAUUGUCUCCUGUGGCCUGAACGGCUUCCAAGUCACUGAGUAGCUGAGGACGACCUUGAACUUCUGGUCCUCGUGCGUCCACCUAAGAUCACAGACAGAGCCCGGCAUAACUGUAUCCUGAGAGGCUUCAAACGGCAGCAGAGGGAGGCAGAUGCAGAGACCCACAGCCAAACAGUAGGUUGGACACAGGGAGUCCUGUGGAAGAGUCCAGGAAUAGGGUUGAGUGAGGGAUCAAGGACACCAAGAGAAGAUCUGCAGGGUCAACUAACUUGGGCCCGUGGGGGCCCACAGAGACUGAACCACAGACCAAAGGGGAUAUAGGGGCUGGACCUAGGCCCCUGACACAUUUGUAGUAAAUGUGCAGCUUGGUCUUCUUCAUGUGGGUCCCCAAACAAAUGGAACACGGGGGCUGCCUUGGACUCUGUUGCCUGCCAUUGGAUUCCCUUCCCUACUUGGACUGCCUGGUUGGGCCUCAGCAGCAGAGGAUGUGCCUAGUCCUGCUGGAACUAGAUGUCCCAGGAUGGGAUGAAACCCAAGGGGGGCUUCCCCUUGUCCUCAGAGACAGGGAGAGAGUAAUGGGGGAGAGAUUUGUAAGGGCAGGACCGGGAGGAAGGGGAAGUCGUGAUUGGGACGUAAAAUGGAUAUAAAAAAAUAAAUUAUUGAAAACAA